UACGUAGGGGGCAAGCGUUUGUCCGGAAUCAUUGGGCGUAAAGCGCGUGUAGGCGGCCCGGUAAGUCCGCUGUGAAAGUCGGGGGCUCAACCCCUCGGAUGCCGGGUGGAGUACUGUCGGGCUAGAGUGCGGGAGAGGCGAGUGGAAUUCCUGGUGUAGCGGUGAAAUGCGCAGAUAUCAGGGAGGAACACCAAUUGGCGAAGGCAGCUCGCUUGGAACGU
RNAcentral lists this ribosomal RNA (221 nucleotides) under uncultured bacterium. Its description in RNAcentral is "partial 16S ribosomal RNA". It matches the Rfam family "Bacterial small subunit ribosomal RNA", at positions 524 to 737 of the family's 1533-position model. The record is from RNAcentral.